CCUACGGGAGGCAGCAGUUAGGAAUCUUGCGCAAUGGGCGAAAGCCUGACGCAGCAACGCCGCGUGGGGGAUGAAGGCCCUCGGGUUGUAAACCCCUUUCAGUCGGGACGAAAAUGACGGUACCGACAGAAGAAGCCCCGGCCAACUACGUGCCAGCAGCCGCGGUGACACGUAGGGGGCAAGCGUUGUCCGGAUUUAUUGGGCGUAAAGGGCUCGUAGGCGGUUCGACAAGUCGGGUGUGAAACCUCCAGGCUCAACCUGGAGUCGCCGCUCGAAACUGUUGUGACUAGAGUCCGGUAGAGGAGCAUGGAAUUUGUGGUGUAGCGGUGGAAUGCGCAGAUAUCACAAGGAACACCAGUAGCGAAGGCGAUGCUCUGGGCCGGUACUGACGCUGAGGAGCGAAAGCAUGGGGAGCGAACAGGAUUAGAUACCCCAGUAGU
This 440-nucleotide ribosomal RNA is filed under the name uncultured bacterium. Its description in RNAcentral is "bacterial SSU rRNA". It matches the Rfam family "Bacterial small subunit ribosomal RNA", at positions 338 to 794 of the family's 1533-position model. The record is from RNAcentral.